This 499-nucleotide ribosomal RNA is filed under the name uncultured bacterium. RNAcentral's name for it is "bacterial SSU rRNA". It matches the Rfam family "Bacterial small subunit ribosomal RNA", at positions 903 to 1397 of the family's 1533-position model. The record is from RNAcentral.
AAAGGAAUAGACGGGGGCCCGCACAAGCGGUGGAGCAUGUGGUUUAAUUCGACGCAACGCGAAGAACCUUACCAAGGCUUGACAUCCUACGAAUCCUGUAGAGAUACGGGAGUGCCCUCUUUGAGGGAACGUAGAGACAGGUGGUGCAUGGUUGUCGUCAGCUCGUGUCGUGAGAUGUUGGGUUAAGUCCCGCAACGAGCGCAACCCCUAUAUUCAGUUGCCAGCACUUCGGGUGGGAACUCUGGAUAGACUGCCGGUGACAAACCGGAGGAAGGUGGGGAUGACGUCAAAUCAUCAUGCCCCUUAUGUCUUGGGCUACACACGUGCUACAAUGGGCGGUACAGACGGAAGCGAAGCCGUGAGGCGGAGCAAAUCCGAGAAAGCCGUUCUCAGUUCGGAUUGCAGGCUGCAACUCGCCUGCAUGAAGUCGGAAUCGCUAGUAAUCGCAGGUCAGCACACUGCGGUGAAUACGUUCCCGGGCCUUGUACACACCGCCCGU